Rattus norvegicus (Norway rat) is the source of this 2613-nucleotide RNA transcript. It is a transcript of the gene named similar to human chromosome 10 open reading frame 143, with no coding region annotated. The record is from RefSeq and is marked validated. Lineage: Eukaryota; Metazoa; Chordata; Mammalia; Rodentia; Muridae.
AUUAUUUUUUUUUUUUUUUGGUCUUUUUUUCGGAGCUGGGGACCGAACCCAGGGCCUUGUGCUUCCUAGGCAAGCGCUCUACCACUGAGCUAAAUCCCCAGCCCCUUCUUAUUUUUUUUAAUAGAAAGAUCAUUUUUAAUUCUAAAUUUUUUGAGGGGCUUGUAUGUGAGUACAAGUCCAAGAUGUUGGAUCCCCAGAAGCUGGAGUUAUAAGCAAUUGUGAGUCAGGUGGCAUAGGUAUGAGGAACUGAACACAUGUAUUUUGCAAGAGCAGUUAAUGCUCUUAACUAGUAAGCCAUCUCUCCAGGCCAUGUUAUUUUGUUUCGUUUUGUUUUGUUUGAAACAGUGUCUUUCUAUGUAACCCUGGUUGGUUAGAACUCUCUAUGCAGAUCAAGCUGGCCUGGAACUCACAGAGAUCUGCCUGUCUCUGCAUCCCAAGUGCUGGGAUUAAAGGUGUGCACCAACAAGCCCAGCCCUGUUUUGUUUUUAAGACAGUUUCUAGUAGCCCAGACUAACCUCCACCUCACUGUGAUGAUGACCCUUGAAUGCCUGAUCCUCCUUCCUCUUUCUACCUUCCUAUUUUAAAAAUCCUUUCUGUUUCGUUCCUCUAGACAACACUGAUUAAUACACUAGGCAAGCACUCCAACAACACCAAGACACACUGCCCAGCCUUUUAAAAAAAAUUAAUAGAUUCCAAAGAUGCACCAGAUAGGAAGGGUGUGUGACACAAGAUUUCGACAAUCCACCUAAUGAGUACUUGGCAUAAAAUAGAGUACUUUACUUUUUAUUUUUUAAUUUUUUGAGAUAGAGAUGCAGCCCUGGAACUCUCUACAUAGACCACACUUGCCUCAAAUUCAAGAGAUCCUCCUGCCUCUGCCUCUCAAAUUCUGAAAUCAAAGGCAUACACCACUACUUCCAGCCUGAGAAGUUCUUUAAAACAGGUAAAUAUCUCUUAGUCUUGUAUUAGUGAAUCAAUGUUAUCUCUUACAGGAACUGAGGUAGAAGAGCCAUUUGGAGAUCCUGAGGUAACCUAAGGAUAGCUUCAAUCACUUCACCACAGUGGUUUCCUGUGGUAAGCUCAGAGUGUCUCAAGAGAGAAGUGUGGAGUGUAGCCAGGCACCACAUGGUUCAGAAGAACUUGUUAAAAAUUCACGCCACCAGCUGCCCUUGUGAUGUGAAGGCUGCCAUUAUCCCAGGAAGCUAACACUGCACUAGAAUUGGGAAAGGGGAUCUUAUGGUCUCUGCUCCAAGCAACCUCUACUUCCCACUGGUUCAAACCAGUUCACAUGUUCACUGCUAGACAAUCAUUGCCAAAGAACUAGCUCUAUUUUAAUUCGUCAAUAAAGCACGGGGGUCUGGGAGCUUUGGUACAGAACAGUUCAGAACUUUGCGGUGGGCCCUGGAGGGAGGGAGAGUCUGCACACGCUUCAGGAACCAGGCCUAGCUUCGGAGAAGUCAAAUGUGUAGCUUUCCUCAAAGCCAGGCCGAAAGCCAUCCCCAACCCCGACGCCUGUGGCUGUGCCUGCCCCAGGUGGUGUUCCUGUGCCUGCUCACGACCCGCCUGCAAAACCGUGGCAAGGCUUUGCACAUUAUUCCAGGUUGAGAAUUCGAGCCUCUUGUACCUUAGAGCAAAACUAAAAGCUGUCAGACUGCAACUCCCGAAGACAACGCCCAGAGCAGCCUCGGGCGUGCCGAUUGGUCCGCGGUGUAUCUAUCAGGACUCAGUAACCAAUCACAAGGAAUGAGAGGAGGGCGCGCCUCCCACCGACCAAGGGUUGCAGAAGUGUGGCAUAUCUUAAACAAACGACCUUUGGGACUGACUUUGUGAACGGAGAAGCGACAAGCCAGUCCCGGCUUGCGAGGCGUCGACCUGUGGCGGGUGAAAGAAUUCCCCGCACCUCAGGCCGUAGGAGACUCGGGUUUCGGCUACUCCUGCCUGCAGCCCCUCUGUGAGGCACAGUCUGUUCUUCAGGCUACGCCCCACGCCUCCUUAUUGGCUUCUCCAGACACGUGGUCGAGUGGUUCCCGCCUCCGGGUGCCCUGAGAGGCGGUUCGCUAAGCCGCAUGGACAGCCUGGCGCCGGGCCGAUGGAGACGGCGGAGGACGGAGGAGCUGCCAGCGGCAGGGGACGCGAAACGGGUGUGCAGGAGGUCAGAAGCAGGUGGACUUGAGUGCAGUGGCCACCUACUAACCACCUGUGCCCUGCUGUCCUGGAGCACAGAGGACCAGGAGCCAAGGCCACUCGUCCUGCCUGCACCACAACCAGAGUGUAGCCAGGAGAGGCUGAGCUCAAUGAUUCUGCAGAACGGUGGAAGGGGUUCAGCCCAGCCUUGCCUGAGAUGUAUCGCGGGGGAAUCUGUAAGUGUCACCUCACUGAGGCACGAGUGAGAGAGUUCUUAAACAUCACAUCUGCAAAGCAGUCAAUAAGAUCUGUAAUUACAUACAUGAGAAAUGGCACAUGUAAAUAAAGCUAAAGGGCCAUUUUAACCAUACCAGCAAUCAUUAGAAGAUGCAAACGGGACAAAGGAAGAUUCCAGUUGAGUUUGAAUCCUCACAUGAUGGCCAGUGCACAUCCCGUACAUCUUGCUUGGAUGCCCACCUAUUCAAAUGAUAG